GAUGAACGCUGGCGGCGUGCCUAAUACAUGCAAGUCGAGCGAACGGACGAGAAGGUUGCUUCACUGAUGUUAGCGGCGGACGUGUGAGGAAAACGUGGAUAACCUACCUAUAAGACUGGGAUAACUUCGGGAAACCGGAGCUAAUACCGGAUAAUAUUUUGAACCGCAUGGUUCAAAAGUGAAAGACGGUCUUGCUGUCACUGAUAGAUGUAUCCGCGCUGCAUUAGCUAGUUGGUAAGGUAACGGCUUACCAAGGCAACGAUGCAUAGCCGACCUGAGAGGGUGAUCGGCCACACUGGAACUGAGACACGGUCCAGACUCCUACGGGAGGCAGCAGUAGGGAAUCUUGCGCAAUGGGCGAAAGCCUGACGGAGCAACGCAGCGCGAGUGCUGAAGGUCUUCGGAUCGUAAAACUCUGUUAUUAGGGAAGAACAUAUGUGUAAGUAACUGUGCACAUCUUGACGGUACCUAAUCAGAAAGCAACGGCUAACUACGUG
Molecule: ribosomal RNA, 497 nt
Filed under: uncultured bacterium
Lineage: Bacteria
Description: partial 16S ribosomal RNA
Rfam family: Bacterial small subunit ribosomal RNA
Source: RNAcentral